RNAcentral lists this long non-coding RNA (433 nucleotides) under Setaria italica (foxtail millet). Its description in RNAcentral is "long non-coding RNA (SITA_LNC003414)". The record is from RNAcentral. Lineage: Eukaryota; Viridiplantae; Streptophyta; Magnoliopsida; Poales; Poaceae.
GCGCCCCCAACUCAGCUCGCUCCCGCUGCCCAGCGCUCGCCGAGCCACACGUCGCCGCCGGCACCAAUGGCCUCCGCUGCCAUGGAGCUCUCCCUCCUCAACCCCGCCGCAAUGCACCACCACCGCGGGGUGUCCGCCAAGACCUCCGCGGGCCUGCCCCUCGCCCGCCGCUCCGUGGUCCGGUUCCGCGUGUCCGCCUCCGCCGCGACCCCCGCCGCGCCGCCCAAGGCCUCGGGCCCCAAGAAGCGGGGCAAGACGGAGAUCCAGGAGACGCUGCUCACGCCGCGGUUCUACACCACCGACUUCGACGAGAUGGAGCGCCUCUUCAACGCCGAGAUCAACAAGCAGCUCAACCAGGCGGAGUUCGACGCGCUGCUGCAGGAGUUCAAGACGGACUACAACCAGACCCACUUCGUGCGCAACCCCGAGUUCA